CUUCCCUCCGCCAUCUUUGUUUGGGUCGGCGUCAACCUGACAACCGACAACCGAGUUUUUAAAAAGGUUAUGCACAACAAGUGUGAUAUCGGAGGAGAAAAUAAAUAAAUAAAACGCCGGUGACAAAAACCCAGAAUCAGAUCAUCGUCCGCUUCAAGGCUCAAACUCGCUGUCACUGCUGACUGAGAUCUCCAGAGUGGAGGCUGCUGUUCGUCUGUGCUCCAUCUCUGUGCUGCAGUCACUGGCCUCAGGGCUGCUGCUGAGGUGGUGGAGGGAAGAAGCUAACAGAUGCAGCUCUGUCUCGCUGGCGUCGGUUCUUGAACCAGUUGCCCACCUGUGUGGGUGUUAGUCCCGUGGCCUGGGCCAGAUGUCGUUUCCUGGAAGGGUUUGGAUACGGAUCUUGAAGCAUCUUCUGGUGGAGGAUGGAUAUUUGGUUUUCAGGCCCUCCUUGAAACUGCGAAACAGGACACGGUUGUGUUUGUUCUCCUCGUCCUUCUUGGCGUG
Long non-coding RNA from Cynoglossus semilaevis (tongue sole), 504 nucleotides. RefSeq lists it as uncharacterized. Lineage: Eukaryota; Metazoa; Chordata; Actinopteri; Pleuronectiformes; Cynoglossidae. The transcript has 4 exons. The record is from RefSeq and is a predicted model, not a curated record.